Molecule: non-coding RNA, 1112 nt
Organism: Pimephales promelas (fathead minnow)
Lineage: Eukaryota; Metazoa; Chordata; Actinopteri; Cypriniformes; Leuciscidae
Source: RefSeq, a predicted model, not a curated record
ACAAAACAAAACAAAAAAUUUUUGUGAGUUUCCUAAAUUGUUGGCAUACGUUCAUAUAAAUUUGUUCAGGCUAGGCACACACACACACACACACACACACACACACACACACACACACACACACUCACACAAAUUGAUGUUUGUUUCACUAUAUUAGUGAAGACAUUGCAUAGACUUUUAUUGACUUUUAUAUCAAGUAAAAUAUAUUUUAUAUCAUCUAACCCUAAACAACAAUGUGAAAAACACUAGAUUUAAAUAAAAAAUGCUUACUAGUGAGUAAAAUGUCCUCACUAGUUGCUUGUCAUGAUAUUUCACUAUAUAAAUGAAGACAUUUGGCUUUUGCAAUUUUCUCAAGUGUAGCUAGCUAACCUGUACACACACACACACACACACACACAAACACACUAUUUACCACAAUCCAGAUUCUGAAGCCCUCUCUCACUGUUUUGGAAAAUAAUUUUUUUGUCUAACAUGAACUUUACUAAACUAUCCCAAAUCCACUUGCAGUCGUAAACGUGAAAACUAUUGUCCAGGUGCACACAAAUACACACUCCCGAUACCUCACCCCUCCCUGUCCCCUCAAUCGGCUCACAACGGCAUUGUAAUCGAGCGUGUCAUUCACGGUUGUGGGUGGGUUUGAGCUGUGAGUCAGAUUUGUACCUGCUCAGGGCAGUGAAACCGCAUUUGAGACACAUGAAAAGAAACAGACAAUUCAUAUGGGUGAUGUGACAGGUGUAAAUGUGUGCAGACGUGCCUGAUUAUGUGUUAAAGGACUAUGACAUGACACACAUCCCACGUCUGACUUGCUGCCGGAUGAAACAAAGGGAAAUUUGUCAAUAGCCUCUGUGUUGAUGUUGUUUGAGUAUGUUGAACUGUUGUGCAAGAUUGUAGGUUUCUAGUAGGCGUUCUUUUUGUGCCACUGUAUGCAAAUGAAUUGGGGGCGAAUCCCGUUGGAAGUAGCUGCUCAUUUGCAUGUAUUGGAGCUUAUUAGGUCUUAAUUGCUUUACAGUGUAUUUAUUGUAAAUCUUAAUAGUGUUGUUUAAUAUAUUUUAUAUUUAUGUGACAUACUACCACAGCUAAAAAUGUUCAAAUUAAACUUUUUUUUGUGUGUG